RNAcentral lists this ribosomal RNA (601 nucleotides) under uncultured bacterium. Its description in RNAcentral is "bacterial SSU rRNA". It matches the Rfam family "Bacterial small subunit ribosomal RNA", at positions 750 to 1340 of the family's 1533-position model. The record is from RNAcentral.
GGAACGAAAGCCGGGGGAGCAAAUGGGAUUAGAUACCCCAGUAGUCCCGGCCGUAAACGAUGAACACUAGGUGUUGCGGGUAUCGACCCCUGCAGUGCCGCAGCUAACGCGUUAAGUGUUCCGCCUGGGGAGUACGCACGCAAGUGUGAAACUUAAAGGAAUUGACGGGGACCCGCACAAGCGGUGGAACAUGUGGUUUAAUUCGAAGCAACGCGAAGAACCUUACCAGGACUUGACAUUGAUAGAACCCUGAUGAAAGUCGGGGGUGCUCUUCGGAGAACUUGAAAACAGGUGGUGCACGGUUGUCGUCAGCUCGUGUCGUGAGAUGUUGGGUUAAGUCCCGCAACGAGCGCAACCCUUGUCGUUAGUUGGUCAUAGCGGUAUACUUCUAUGUACCUCUCUAGCGAGACUGCCGGUGAUAAACCGGAGGAAGGUGAGGACGACGUCAAAUCAUCAUGCCCCUUACGUUCUGGGCUACACACGUGUUACAAUGGCCGGUACAACGAGCAGCGAGCUCGCGAGGGCAAGCAAAUCUCUUAAACCCGGUCUCAGUUCGGAUUGCACUCUGCAACUCGAGUGCAUGAAGUCGGAAUCGCUAGUA